This 465-nucleotide ribosomal RNA is filed under the name Vreelandella stevensii. RNAcentral describes it as "partial 16S ribosomal RNA". It matches the Rfam family "Bacterial small subunit ribosomal RNA", at positions 338 to 795 of the family's 1533-position model. Lineage: Bacteria; Pseudomonadati; Pseudomonadota; Gammaproteobacteria; Oceanospirillales; Halomonadaceae. The record is from RNAcentral.
CCUACGGGUGGCUGCAGUGGGGAAUAUUGGACAAUGGGCGAAAGCCUGAUCCAGCCAUGCCGCGUGUGUGAAGAAGGCCUUCGGGUUGUAAAGCACUUUCAGUGGGGAAGAAAGCCUUGGGGCUAAUACCCUCGAGGAAGGACAUCACCCACAGAAGAAGCACCGGCUAACUCCGUGCCAGAAGCCGCGGUAAUACGGAGGGUGCGAGCGUUAAUCGGAAUUACUGGGCGUAAAGCGCGUGUAGGCGGUCUGAUAAGCCGGUUGUGAAAGCCCCGGGCUCAACCUGGGAACGGCAUCCGGAACUGUCAGGCUAGAGUGCAGGAGAGGAAGGUAGAAUUCCCGGUGUAGCGGUGAAAUGCGUAGAGAUCGGGAGGAAUACCAGUGGCGAAGGCGGCCUUCUGGACUGACACUGACGCUGAGGUGCGAAAGCGUGGGUAGCAAACAGGAUUAGAUACCCGAGUAGUC